RNAcentral lists this ribosomal RNA (1438 nucleotides) under metagenome. Its description in RNAcentral is "bacterial SSU rRNA". It matches the Rfam family "Archaeal small subunit ribosomal RNA". The record is from RNAcentral.
ACCCGUUGAUCCUGCGGGAGAUUGCUGCUAUUAGGACUCGACUUAGCCAUGCAAGUCCAGGGGGUCUUCGGACCACCGGCAAAAUGCUCAGUAACACGUCGAUAACCUUCCCUUAGGUCAGGGAUAACCACGGGAAACUGUGGCUAAAAUCUGAUAAAGAAUUAUUUCUGGAACGAAUUAUUCUUCAAAAGCAAUGCCUAAGGAUGGGUUGGCGGCUGAUUAGGUUGUUGGUAGGGUAAUGGCCUACCAAGCCAAUGAUCAGUAGGGGCCUUGAAAGAGGGAGCCCCGAGAAGGGCACUGAGAUACUGGCCCUAGCCCUACGGGGUGCAGCAGGCGCGAAACCUUUACAAUGCACGAAAGUGUGAUAAGGGAAUCCUAAGUGCUAAUACUUAGUAUUAGCUUUUGCCAAAUGUAAAUAGUUUGGCGAAUAAGUGGUGGGAAAGACUGGUGCCAGCAGCCGCGGUAACACCAGCGCCACAAGUGGUGAUCAGCAUUAUUGGGCCUAAAGCGUCCGUAGCCGGUUUAGUUAAUCUUGUGUGAAAUAGUUGCGCUCAACGUAAUAAAAUGCACGAGACACUGCUAGACUAGGAACCGGGAGGAGUAAGAAGUAUUCUUGGGGGAGCGGUAAAAUGUUAUAAUCCCAAGAGGACUACCUGUGGCGGAGGCGUCUUACUAGGACGGAUUCGACGGUGAGGGACGAAAGCUAGGGGAGCGAACCGGAUUAGAUACCCGAGUAGUCCUAGCUGUAAACGCUGCGAGCUAGGCGUUGCAUGAUCUAUAUGGUUGUGCAGUGUCGGAGCGAAGGUGUUAAGCUCGCCGCCUGGGAAGUAUGGUCGCAAGACUGAAACUUAAAGGAAUUGGCGGGGGAGCACCACAAGGGGUGCGGCGUGCGGUUUAAUCUAACUCUACGCAGAGAACCUCACUAUAGGCGACGGCAGGAUGAAAGUCAGGCUAAAGACCUUACUUAACAAGCCGAGAGGAGGUGCAUGGCCGCCGUCAGCUCGUGCCGUAAGGUGUCCUGUUAAGUCAGGUAACGAGCGAGACCUGCGCCUGCAAUUGCCAGCAGCUUUUUCGGAAGGACUGGGCACAAUGCAGGGACUGCCUUGGAAACAAGGAGGAAGGUGCAGGCUACGGUAGGUCUGUAUGCCCCGAAUCCUAUAGGCUACACGCGCGCAACAAUGGUACAGACAAUGGGAUGCAACUCCGAAAGGAGAAGCUAAACCUCUAAACUCUAUCCAAGUCCAGAUUGAAGAUUGCAACUCAUCUUCAUGACGAUGGAAUCCCUAGUAAUCGGUUGUUAUCAUCGACCGGUGAAUAUGUCCCUGCUCCUUGCACACACCGCCCGUCAAACCACUCGAGCAGUGUUUAGGUGAGUGUUGGUUUUUUUUGAUCAAUCCAAACCUAAACUCAGUGAGAUGGGUUAAGUCGUCACAAGGUA